CUGGUUGAUCCUGCCAGUAGUCAUAUGCUUGUCUCAAAGAUUAAGCCAUGCAUGUCUAAGUACAAGCCUCACUAAGGUGAAACCGCGAAUGGCUCAUUAAAUCACACCUAAUCUACUGGAUAGUAAACAGUUACUUGGAUAACUGCGGUAAUUCUGGAGCUAAUACAUGCAUGAAGCCCCAACUCACGAAGGGGCGCUUUUAUUAGAUCAAAACCAAACGGCUUCGGCUGUACUCUUGGUGAUUCUGAAUAACUUUGGGCUGAUCGCAUAGCCUUGCGCUGGCGACAUGGGUUUCGAAGGUGUGCCCUAUCAACUGUCGACUGUGGCAUAGACGCCCACAGUGGUUUUGACGGGUAACGGGGAAUCAGGGUUCGAUUCCGGAGAGGGAGCCUUAAAAACGGCUACCACAUCUAAGGAAGGCAGCAGGCACGCAAAUUACCCAAUGACCGAAGGUCGAGGUAGUGACGAAAAAUAACAAUACCGGACUCUUCCGAGGCCCGGUAAUUGGAAUGAGACGACUUUAAAUCCGUUUACGAGGAUCUAUUGGAGGGCAAGUCU
This 558-nucleotide ribosomal RNA is filed under the name uncultured eukaryote. Its description in RNAcentral is "SSU rRNA". It matches the Rfam family "Eukaryotic small subunit ribosomal RNA", at positions 4 to 562 of the family's 1831-position model. The record is from RNAcentral.